This is a long non-coding RNA of Ictalurus punctatus (channel catfish), 748 nucleotides long. NCBI's taxonomy places the organism in Eukaryota, Metazoa, Chordata, Actinopteri, Siluriformes, Ictaluridae. The record is from Ensembl.
UACGAGUGUUAGUUACUGUGUUUGUUACUGAAUAGAAGAAUUGAUAGUUUACUGUGAUGAUGAACGCAAUAAUUAGACGAUUAGAUGUCCACAAUAUGCAUUUUUAAUUUGUAACACGUAUAUUACAAUCAAACAGUGUGAGGUCAGACUGAGUCGGGUCGGUGUCUAACGCGUCGUAGGUUCUGAAGUUCGUUGAGAACGGCUGGACGGAGCCUGGAACGUUUCCUCCUCCGGCUCUCACAUCAUCAUCUAUAAACACAGAUAUCAGUAUUUAUUAUUUUAUGCACAUCACAUAUACAUUCACAUGCAAGAGCUGAACACGAGUUCAUUAAUAAUACAUUUUUCAGGUUUGCAGAUCACUGUAUUGUCAUAUUUAAAUGUUGGUGUUGAGCGAGUGUAUGUAUUCAGCUGUGAUUCAUUAUAAAUGAGUGUUAAAAAUGAAGGUAGUAAAUGAAGGAUUGUGCGUGGUGACAGACAGCGUUAGUGUAGUGGGGUGUGUGUCGUGGUUAAAACGUCACCCUUAUUAACCACGUGGCCAAUGGGCGCUCUCCCUACCACAGUAUAUAAGUGGUUGUUUACGCCUCUCAGAAUGUGUCAUGGUCGAAAAGCCCGCCCCUUCCUUUCGUUGCUAUGGACUACAGAGGAGCAAAAUGGAGCCUGAUGCAAAUUCUCCCACACGCUGAAGUGCACGUCGGCUCUAACCGUGUCUGAUGCUGUGGAACUUCAGUGCCUAAAGUGAAUACAGUCA